CGUACCNUUACCACAGGGGGAUAACACCUGGAAACAGGUGCUAAUACCGCAUAAGCGCACAGGGCCGCAUGGCCCGGUGUGAAAAACUCCGGUGGUGUAAGAUGGACCCGCGUCUGAUUAGCUUGUUGGCGGGGUAGGGGCCCACCAAGGCGACGAUCAGUAGCCGGCCUGAGAGGGUGGACGGCCACAUUGGGACUGAGACACGGCCCAAACUCCUACGGAAGGCAGCAG
RNAcentral lists this ribosomal RNA (231 nucleotides) under uncultured bacterium. RNAcentral describes it as "partial 16S ribosomal RNA". It matches the Rfam family "Bacterial small subunit ribosomal RNA", at positions 120 to 354 of the family's 1533-position model. The record is from RNAcentral.